Molecule: transfer RNA, 84 nt
Filed under: Mustela putorius furo (domestic ferret)
Lineage: Eukaryota; Metazoa; Chordata; Mammalia; Carnivora; Mustelidae
Rfam family: tRNA
About the family: Transfer RNA (tRNA) molecules are approximately 80 nucleotides in length. Their secondary structure includes four short double-helical elements and three loops (D, anti-codon, and T loops). Further hydrogen bonds mediate the characteristic L-shaped molecular structure. tRNAs have two regions of fundamental functional importance: the anti-codon, which is responsible for specific mRNA codon recognition, and the 3' end, to which the tRNAs corresponding amino acid is attached (by aminoacyl-tRNA synthetases). tRNAs cope with the degeneracy of the genetic code in two manners: having more than one tRNA (with a specific anti-codon) for a particular amino acid; and 'wobble' base-pairing, i.e. permitting non-standard base-pairing at the 3rd anti-codon position.
Source: Rfam by way of RNAcentral
GCCUGGGUAGCUCAGUCAGUGAAGCAUCUGCCUUUGACUCAGAUCAUGAUCCCAGGAUGGUGGGAUCAAGUCCCACAUCAGGCC